RNAcentral lists this ribosomal RNA (468 nucleotides) under uncultured bacterium. RNAcentral describes it as "partial 16S ribosomal RNA". It matches the Rfam family "Bacterial small subunit ribosomal RNA", at positions 28 to 507 of the family's 1533-position model. The record is from RNAcentral.
GACGAACGCUGGCGGCGUGCUUAACAUAUGCAAGUCGAACGGAAAGGCCCUGCUUUUGUGGGGUGCUCGAGUGGCGAACGGGUGAGUAACACGUGAGUAACCUGCCCUUGACUUUGGGAUAACUUCAGGAAACUGGGGCUAAUACCGGAUAGGAGCUCCUGCUGCAUGGUGGGGGUUGGAAAGUUUCGGCGGUUGGGGAUGGACUCGCGGCUUAUCAGCUUGUUGGUGGGGUAGUGGCUUACCAAGGCUUUGACGGGUAGCCGGCCUGAGAGGGUGACCGGCCACAUUGGGACUGAGAUACGGCCCAGACUCCUACGGGAGGCAGCAGUGGGGAAUAUUGCACAAUGGGCGGAAGCCUGAUGCAGCAACGCCGCGUGCGGGAUGACGGCCUUCGGGUUGUAAACCGCUUUCGCCUGUGACGAAGCGCGAGUGACGGUAAUGGGUAAAGAAGCACCGGCUAACUACGUG